GCCUGCUUAGCAUAGUGGCUAAUGCGUUGCACUUGUAUCUAUCGACGAUAUGCAAAGAUCACAGGUUCGAUUCCUGUAGUAGGCA
Chaetomium sp. MPI-CAGE-AT-0009 is the source of this 85-nucleotide non-coding RNA. Lineage: Eukaryota; Fungi; Ascomycota; Sordariomycetes; Sordariales; Chaetomiaceae. The record is from the annotation of a GenBank genome assembly.